Molecule: ribosomal RNA, 468 nt
Filed under: uncultured bacterium
Lineage: Bacteria
Description: partial 16S ribosomal RNA
Rfam family: Bacterial small subunit ribosomal RNA
Source: RNAcentral
GACGAACGCUGGCGGCGUGCUUAACACAUGCAAGUCGAACGGAAAGGCCCUGCUUUUGUGGGGUGCUCGAGUGGCGAACGGGUGAGUAACACGUGAGUAACCUGCCCUUGACUUUGGGAUAACUUCAGGAAACUGGGGCUAAUACCGGAUAGGAGCUCCUGCUGCAUGGUGGGGGUUGGAAAGUUUCGGCGGUUGGGGAUGGACUCGCGGCUUAUCAGCUUGUUGGUGGGGUAGUGGCUUACCAAGGCGUUGACGGGUAGCCGGCCUGAGAGGGUGACCGGCCAACUUGGGACUGAGAUAAGGCCCAGACUCCUACGGGAGGAAGCAGUGGGGAAUAUUGCACAAUGGGCGGAAGCCUGAUGCAGCAACGCCGCGUGCGGGAUGACGGCCUUCGGGUUGUAAACCGCUUUCGCCUGUGACGAAGCGUGAGUGACGGUAAUGGGUAAAGAAGCACCGGCUAACUACGUG